GACAGAGGGUGCAAACGUUGUUCGGAAUCACUGGGCAUAAAGCGCACGUAGGCGGUCCACUAAGUCAGGUGUGAAAGCCCCCGGCUCAACCGGGGAAUUGCACUUGAUACUGGUGGGCUCGAGGAUGAGAUGGGUAGGCGGAACUCCAGGUGGAGCGGUGAAAUGCGUAGAUAUCUGGAGGAACACCGGUGGCGAAAGCGGCCUACUGGACCAUCACUGACGCUGAGGUGCGAAAGCUAGGGUAGCAAACGGG
RNAcentral lists this ribosomal RNA (253 nucleotides) under uncultured bacterium. Its description in RNAcentral is "partial 16S ribosomal RNA". It matches the Rfam family "Bacterial small subunit ribosomal RNA", at positions 524 to 776 of the family's 1533-position model. The record is from RNAcentral.